Molecule: long non-coding RNA, 1045 nt
Filed under: Cricetulus griseus (Chinese hamster)
Lineage: Eukaryota; Metazoa; Chordata; Mammalia; Rodentia; Cricetidae
Description: lncRNA (ENSCGRG00015034433.1)
Source: RNAcentral
CUUCCCAGCAUCACUGCCUUGGGCUAUUGGCUGUCCUUCCCAUGAAUGCCAGUAUUCUGUCACUCAGCAGUUGCACAACUGUAGACAAAUAGUCCUAGUCACUUGAACCUCUGUUUUCAUGGCCCAUCAAGUUCCUAGCAGCACCCCAUACAGCAGCCUAUCCCCACAGGUGAGGCUGUUCUGGGCAUCAUCUUAGAGUGAGGCCAAAAAGUGCAUGGGGAAGCCUCAGUGCCCACAGGGAAAGGUAGUCACAGUCAUCCAAGUGUCCCUUUCCUGUGGACUCACAGCCACCUCCUGACUGAUCCCGGGCAAGCCAAGAGCUCAACCCUGAGAACCAGAAAGUGCAGGGAUAUGAAGAACAGGUGGAAUAGGAGGGAACCAAAGAGGCUUUGUAGGUAAAUAUAGCCUAAGCGAAAGUGAGUGAAGGUUGCCAGCUGCUGAAAAUGGAACUAACUAGCAAUCAGCAGCCAACAUCUGCUCCUCAUUUCUCCAUGGCUUCCUGGCUCAAUCAAAAAGAAUACGUGUAAUCUUUGAAGAAAUUCCUGGAGAAGUUAGAAAAAAAUCACUGGAGAAUCUUCACCUUACUGACAAGGACUCUCCUGUCAUUCAGUGCUCUGUACUCCAGGAUUGCUGGCCCUCAAGCUUCUGGAGCUUUCCCUGCCUCCCAUGUCCCCAUAGCAGCUCUGGGAUUACAGAAGCGUGCACUUUGUCCCCAGCCAUGAUGUGGCUUCUGGGCAUCCAAACUCAGGCCAGCCUUGUGGAGCAAGUGCUUUACCCAGUGUGUCAUCUCUGAAGCCACAAGAAGCAUUUGGGGGAAAUGGCUCAGAAGUCAGAACCACACUCUUGCAGGAGACCUGAGCUCUGUUCCAAGCACACACAUCAGGCAGCUUACAACUGCCUAUGACUCCAGCUCCAGAAAACACAAAGGAUUUUUGAUGGACGAUGUAUGAGGGCCAAAGAAAAGCCUCCAGAGAUAGGUGAGGCAGGGUUUUAUAUGCCUCCCUGUCUAAAUCCUGGUUCUUUUGAGUCUAUCUUGGAUGGUGAC